RNAcentral lists this ribosomal RNA (479 nucleotides) under uncultured bacterium. RNAcentral describes it as "bacterial SSU rRNA". It matches the Rfam family "Bacterial small subunit ribosomal RNA", at positions 364 to 833 of the family's 1533-position model. The record is from RNAcentral.
UUUCGCAAUGCCCGAAAGGGUGACGAAGCGACGCCGCGUGUGGGAAGAAGGCCUUCGGGUUGUAAACCACUGUCGGGAGUUAGGAAAUGUAAAGGUGCUAAUAGUAUCCUUACUUGACUAAGGCUCCGGAGGAAGCCACGGCUAACUCUGUGCCAGCAGCCGCGGUAAUACAGAGGCGGCAAGCGUUGUUCGGAAUUAUUGGGCGUAAAGAGCACGUAGGCGGCCUUGUAAGUCAGUUGUGAAAGCCUUCUGCUUAACGGAAGAACAGCAGCUGAUACUGCAAGGCUAGAGUGCGGAAGGGGAGAGUGGAACUUCUGGUGGAGCGGUGAAAUGCGUAGAUAUCAGAAGGAACACCGGCGGCGAAGGCGACUCUCUGGUCCGUAACUGACGCUGAGUGUGCGAAAGCUAGGGGAGCAAACGGGAUUAGAUACCCCGGUAGUCCUAGCCGUAAACGAUGGGCACUAAGUAGAGGGGUUUUA